UCGAGAUCACUAAGCACUGCCCGGAAGUGGGGGGUUCUUAUGAAUCGGCAUUGAUCCCUUCCUCCCUCCUGCCCCAGCUCACGCCCCCCCACACCCCCACCUAGCCUUCCCAGGUUCCCAACCUCCCCCCGGGACGUGCACCUGCCUUUCCUUGGGGGCUACAACCACAAGCCCCUGGAGAGCACGGCUGCACAGACCUUUCGGAAGUCGGGACGCUGCUCGCAGAGGAACUUUAAAAGGCAGGCUGUGAACUGACAGCUGGCAGCCAGAUCCCACCCACACAUGUGUUUUGUUUGGCUUGCGAAGUGUUUUUAAAAUUUUAAGCCAACAGUAAAAGGUCAGGCGACUUCACAUAAAAACCCACAUUUCCCUCUUCUCCUGUAACUCUGGGUGACCUGACCACACCGGGUCUGUGUUCCCAAGUGCCGCCGGAAGCUGACUGCAGCUGCCCCCUGUAGCCAGGGCAUGUGUGGGGACUGCUCUGACAACUGUCCCCCACUCCCGCAGUGCCCAGUGCCCGACACCCUGGGGAGUCACUGCCACCCCGGAGGGGCCACCAAUUCAACAUGUGACAACCCGAAGUGGAGGGAAGCAGAGGAGGAAGAGACGGAGGGGGACACACAGAUGGAAACUGAGCCCAAGAACCAAGAGUGAGCCUGAGGACCACAGCGAGGGACAGCGGGAGAGGGAGGCAGCAGGCAGACGGAGGCGAGGAGCGAUUCCUUGGGCAUCUUAAGUCACUCUCUGGCCCCUGAGCAGCUGUCUCGUUUAGGGAAAAGGAUGCAGGGGUCCCCACAGGCGAGAGGCUGAACUCAGAGCUGGCCAGGUGAGAAGCGAAGCACCGAACCACUGAAAUCUCCAGGAGACCACACUGGGUGGCAGAUGUGACAGCAACCCUCUGACCUCACGGGGCGCUGCCGUCCCAGCACAACCAGAACAAGGUGUGCCGAUGCCGGGAGCAGUGCAAACGGCCCUGGACGGGGAUGCAGAGGGCUCCGGAUCAGCCUGGGGCUCGCUGUGGGGCCCUGCUGUCAUCCCUUGGAAAUGGGUACACCCCCGGCAUAUUGAGGGGGAGGCACGCAGAGGAACAAACGUGAUAAAUGCAUCCAUGGGCUGCAAAUCGGGGGCCGCUCGGACAGCUGUCCCCCACUCCUGCAGUGCUCGCUGCCUGGCACUGUGAGGAGUCACUGCCACCCCCGAGGGGCCACCAAUUCAACAUGUGACAGGCCGAAGUGGAGGGAAGCAGAGGAGAGAGGAAGACAUAGAGGGAAACUGAACCCAAGACCCAAAAGUGAGCCGGAGGACCACAGCGGGAGAGGGAGGCAGCAGGCAGACGGAAGCGAGGAGACAGGGCGCAGAGGGGCUGCGGGGGGUGCUGGGCACACCUGGCUGAGGAAGGGACCAAAGGCCCAGAGGGUCCCAUAGUCUCAGCCUAGUACCUGUCCCCAAGCCCAGGGGCCCUGAUCACAAGGCAGCAACGUCUAUCCCACAGCUGUGAUAGGUGGGGCACAUCACACCCCGAGGGGCCCCGGCAUCCAUGAUCUCCCCUCCUGGAGGGUGGUCAGCCGCCAUCCUGGCCCCGGACUCCUUGGAAAUGCUCCACAAAGUGCCAGCUGGAAAUGUCACAGCACAGGGGGCCUUGGGAUGAGCCAGCCCCAAGGGGCCAUUCUUUCCUGUGGGUUUGGGGAACUCUUUUAAGAUCUGGAGUGCAGAUUCGGGUUCCAGUGCCUGCUCUGUGUCUUCCUAGCCUUAGUUUCACCUCCUGGGGCCUCAAUUUCUCCAUCAGUAAAAUGGGGACAGUAACCGUCAUAGCACCAGCUCUCAGGCUUCUCAGGGGAGCAGACAGUGAAGCAGUGCACAGAAGUCCUUGGUAAUCCAAGAAGCACCCUCUGGACGGAGCUGCCAGGACAGCCCGCAGCCACCCUGGACUGACCCGUGGGGCUGGGGGCAGCUGGGGAGGCCAAGCGUGUGCACACGGGCACCAGCAGCAGAGCAGACCCCCAGUCUCCUCUCUCAUACCCGAGAUGGGAGAUGAAGACUCCCCUGUGAGUUCCAAACUCCUCCAACCAGUUCUGGCAGGGAAGAAAGGGAGUCCUGGGAAAGCAACUCCCAUGCCUGGGGCUCGGCGGUGACCCACCCAGCCCCUCCCCGGCAGAGGCACUGGUUGCCCUGGAAACUCACCUCGGUGGUGGCCGGUGCUGGCAGAGGUGCCAGCCAAGGUGUCGGGCUUUGGAGAGCGGCACGACGGGCGACGGCCCUUCUCCUGGCGGUCACCACAGAGACACAGGCAAAGAACACAGAGCCCUUCCUCCCCCUGGGCACGGCAGGCCUGGCACAAACCUGGCCUGCUUCCCGGGCCAUGGUGGGGCGAGAGCCAGGUGGGGAGUGGGCCCUGCGGGAGGCCCUCUGCCAGUGUGCUCGUCGCCUGCGUGCCCUAGUGGAGUGGAGCACCCGAGUGCCUGGGCCUGGUGUCACCCGCGUGGCUGUCAUACCUGCUGCUGUGACAGGCAGGACCAGGAAUUCCCGCUUGUACCAGGCCAUGGGCCAGCCGAGGACGAGUGGAGAGGCUGCCCCAAGCUAGCCUAGCUUUCUCCCUUAAUUCUCCAAGUCCCCACUCCCAUUCCCCCUGUGUCGGGGGCCUGGAAACCACCACACAGAGCCAGAAAGGUGACAGAUACAAGUAACCAAAUCAAAACAGGGUUCGGUCAGCAGAGCCACCAGGCGGAUGUGAGUCUAGCCAGAGGCACUGGGAGGCAGGCAGGAGACCCCACUCACUUGUUCUGGAAGGCUUCCCUGCCCCCUAGACCUGAGCUCUUCCAUCCCUGGCACCCAGGCACGAGAUUUCCUUUCUUCUUUUUUUUUUUUUUUUUUUCCCUGAGAUGGAAUCUCGCUCUGUCGCCCAGGCUGGAGUGCAGUGGUGCGACCUCGGCUCACUAUAACCUCUACCUCCCGGUUCAAGUGAUUCUCCUGCCUCAGCCUCCCAGGUAUCUGGGAUUACAGGCACAUGCCACCAUGCUCGGCUAAUUUUUUUUUGAGACAUCGUCUCACUCUGUCACCCAGGCUGGAGUGCAGUGGCAUGGUCUCGGCUCACUGCACCUCUGCCUCCCGGGUUCAAGCGAUUCUCCUGCCUCAGCCUCCUGGGUAGCUGGGACUACAGGCGCAUGCCACCACACCCAGCUAAUUUUUGUAUUUUUAGUAGAGAUGGGGCUUCACUACAUUGGCCAGGCUGGUCUCAAACUCCUGACCUCGUGAUAUGCCUGCCUCAGCCUCCCAAAGUGCUGGGAUUACAGGCAUGAGCCACCACACUCAGCCACUUGGCUAAUUUUUUUGUAUUUUUAUUAGAGAUGGGGUUUUGCCAUGUUGGCCAGGCUGGUUCGAACUCCUGACCUCAGGUGAUCCACCUGCCUUGGCCUCCCAAAGUGGUAAGAUUACAGGUGUGAGCCACCGCACCCGGCCACAAGAUUUCAUUUUAACUGGGCGCAGGGGUGGGGGAUGCCAAUGGUUUGUUUCAUUAAGUAGGGUGGUAAAAAAUAAUAAUAUUACCACCACUACUCCCACCAUUCAGAAAAAACACCACCAAAGGUAACAAGAAAGGGCUGCCAUCAGAAAGAAGGGCAGGCUUGAAAUGAGUACAUUUGGCUUUUAGAAUAAUUUACUAGAGUGACUACUGGAGUUGUAAACAACCACCACCACCACCACAACAAUACAACAACUUACUACCUUGUCCCUGUUUUUCUCAUUUUGCUGCAAACCAGACAUUGGAAGCCAUCAGACGCAUCCAACACACCCGUCUGACAAGUGGAAAGACUGAGCCCCAGAGAGAGCAGGGACUUGCCCAAGAUCUCACAGGAAAAGUGUCUGUCCAGCUGCUCUGCAAAGCUUGCAGACGCUCCUUCCAUCCUGACCUGGGGGCCAGAACACUCAGAGCCCCAACCCCAAAGCCCAGAGAUGCCAGGGCGAAGUCAGAGGCCAAGAGUCUCAGCUACUUCCUUACCUUCCUGGGAACCUGGCCGGGUGGAUGCCCA
RNAcentral lists this long non-coding RNA (4025 nucleotides) under Homo sapiens (human). RNAcentral describes it as "HSALNT0156366". Lineage: Eukaryota; Metazoa; Chordata; Mammalia; Primates; Hominidae. The record is from RNAcentral.